GCUCUGGUGGCCUAGUAGUUAGAGCUUCUGCCUAGGAUCCAGGGGAUCGUGGGUUCGAUCCCCGGUCGAGUAAAACA
Molecule: non-coding RNA, 77 nt
Organism: Potamilus streckersoni
Lineage: Eukaryota; Metazoa; Mollusca; Bivalvia; Unionida; Unionidae
Source: the annotation of a GenBank genome assembly